GAUCAUGGCUCAGGAUGAACGCUGGCGGCGUGCCUAACACAUGCAAGUCGAGCGAAGCACUUUGCUUAGAUUCUUCGGAUGAAGAGGAUUGUGACUGAGCGGCGACGGGUGAGGUAACGCGUGGGUAACCUGCCUCAUACAGGGGGAUAACAGUUAGAAGUGACUGCUAAUACCGCAUAAGACCACAGCACCGCAUGGUGCGGGGGUAAAAACUCCGGUGGU
This 222-nucleotide ribosomal RNA is filed under the name uncultured bacterium. Its description in RNAcentral is "partial 16S ribosomal RNA". It matches the Rfam family "Bacterial small subunit ribosomal RNA", at positions 15 to 219 of the family's 1533-position model. The record is from RNAcentral.